This 699-nucleotide ribosomal RNA is filed under the name uncultured Pezizales. Its description in RNAcentral is "eukaryotic LSU rRNA". It matches the Rfam family "Eukaryotic large subunit ribosomal RNA", at positions 1 to 711 of the family's 3401-position model. Lineage: Eukaryota; Fungi; Ascomycota; Pezizomycetes; Pezizales. The record is from RNAcentral.
GUGACCUCAGAUCAGGUAGGGAUACCCGCUGAACUUAAGCAUAUCAAUAAGCGGAGGAAAAGAAACCAACAGGGAUUGCCCUAGUAACGGCGAGUGAAGCGGCAAAAGCUCAGAUUUGAAAUCUGGCGUCAUUUUGACGUCCGAGUUGUAGUCUGCAGAGGUGUAUUCGAGUGUGGCUUUGGCUUAAGUUCCUUGGAACAGGACGUCAUAGAGGGUGAGAACCCCGUUAACGGCCUUUGUCCUAUGCUCAUGUGAAUCUCCUUCAACGAGUCGAGUUGUUUGGGAAUGCAGCUCUAAAUGGGUGGUAAAUUCCAUCUAAAGCUAAAUACUGGCAAGAGACCGAUAGCGCACAAGUAGAGUGAUCGAAAGAUGAAAAGAACUCUGAACAGAGAGUUAAAUAGUACGUGAAAUUGUUGAAAGGGAAGCACUUCCGACCAGACGCACUUGCAGCCGAUCAACCUUCAUUCUUGAGGGUGCACUCGGUUGUCUGUGGGUCAGCAUCAGUUAUGGUGGUAGGAAAAAGACCGAGGGAAUGUGACUCCUCUCGGGGAGUGUUAUAGCCCUUGGUGCAAUGCUGCUUACUGUGACUGAGGACCGCGCCUCGGCGAGGAUGUUGGCAUAAUGGUCGUAAGUGACCCGUCUUGAAACACGGACCAAGGAGUCUAACAUCUAUGCGAGUGUUUGGGUAUUCAAACCCUU